UACGAAGGGGGCGAGCGUUGUUCGGAUUUACUGGGCGUAAAGGGCGCGCAGGCGGCCAUUCAAGUCAGGCGUGAAAGCCCCGGGCUUAACCUGGGAGGUGCGUCUGGGACUGGGUGGCUAGAGAUCGGGAGAGGAGAGUGGAAUUCCCAGUGUAGAGGUGAAAUUCGUAGAUAUUGGGAAGAACACCGGUGGCGAAGGCGGCGACCUGGUCCUUGACUGACGCUGAGGCGCGAAAGCGUGGGGAGCAAACAGG
RNAcentral lists this ribosomal RNA (253 nucleotides) under uncultured bacterium. RNAcentral describes it as "partial 16S ribosomal RNA". It matches the Rfam family "Bacterial small subunit ribosomal RNA", at positions 524 to 776 of the family's 1533-position model. The record is from RNAcentral.